CACGUAGGAGGCAAGCGUUAUUCGGAUUUACUGGGCGUAAAGCGCGUGCAGGCGGUUUGGUAAGUUGGAUGUGAAAGCUCCUGGCUUAACUGGGAGAGGUCGUUCAAAACUGCCAGACUAGAGGAUGAGAGAGGGAGGUGGAAUUCCGAGUGUAGUGGUGGAAUGCGUAGAUAUUCGGAGGAACACCAGUGGCGAAAGCGGCCUCCUGGCUCAUAACUGACGCUCAGACGCGAAAGCUAGGGUAGCAAACGGGAUUAGAGACC
RNAcentral lists this ribosomal RNA (263 nucleotides) under uncultured bacterium. Its description in RNAcentral is "partial 16S ribosomal RNA". It matches the Rfam family "Bacterial small subunit ribosomal RNA", at positions 524 to 786 of the family's 1533-position model. The record is from RNAcentral.